UACAUGGGGUGCAAACGUUGCUCGGAAUUAUUGGGCGUAAAGCGCGCGUAGGCGGUUACUUAAGUAGGAUGUGAAAGCCCUCGGCUUAACUGAGGAAGUGCACCCGAAACUGAGUAGCUAGAGUACGAAAGAGGGUCGCGGAAUUCCCGGUGUAGAGGUGAAAUUCGUAGAUAUCGGGAGGAACACCGGUGGCGAAGGCGGCGACCUGGGUCGAGACUGACGCUGAGGCGCGAAAGCGUGGGGAGCAAACAGG
This 253-nucleotide ribosomal RNA is filed under the name uncultured bacterium. RNAcentral describes it as "partial 16S ribosomal RNA". It matches the Rfam family "Bacterial small subunit ribosomal RNA", at positions 524 to 776 of the family's 1533-position model. The record is from RNAcentral.